This 347-nucleotide ribosomal RNA is filed under the name uncultured bacterium. RNAcentral describes it as "bacterial SSU rRNA". It matches the Rfam family "Bacterial small subunit ribosomal RNA", at positions 28 to 368 of the family's 1533-position model. The record is from RNAcentral.
GAUGAACGCUAGCGGCAGGCUUAAUACAUGCAAGUCGAGGGGCAGCAGGACUGUAGCAAUACAGUUGCUGGCGACCGGCAAACGGGUGCGGAACACGUACGCAAUCUACCCAGAACUGAUGAAUAGCCCUCCGAAAGGAGGAUUAAUACAUCGUAACAUAAUGAAGUGGCAUCACUUUAUUAUUAUAGCUCCGGCGGUUUUGGAUGAGCGUGCGCCNGAUUAGGUAGUUGGCGGGUAACGGCCCACCAAGCCUUCGAUCAGUAACUGGUGUGAGAGCACGACCAGUCACACGGGCGACUGAGACACGGGCCCGACUCCUACGGGAGGCAGCAGUAAGGAAUAUUGCG